AAAGAGUACUAUAAAAGAAAAAUGAAAUAAAAUUAAAAAAAAAAAAAAUAAAGGAGAAUUAACACUUACCUUUUGUAUUAUGGUUUAACAAGCCUAAAAAGAAAAAAUACUUCUAAGCCCGAAAUUUGAGGAUCUAACCACUUCUUCUUUUAGAGAAAUAACCCACUGUUGCAAGAGUGACAAAAAAGGAAUGGUUUGCAGUAAAAUGCUAAACGAAUCAAAUAAUAGCUGGUUUUUAAAGAAAAAAGUACAAGCUUUUGUUCAAAAAAAAUUUUUCUCUCUCAAAGAAAAAAACUAAAAUUUGAAAAAAAGAAAAUAGAAGAAAAGUCCUAUUUUCAAAAAGGAAACAACCAAAAAUAAAGGAAAAGAAAUAAAGAUUAAAAAAUCAAUGUAGGCCUAAAAGCGGUCACCAAAAAAGAAAGCGUUAAAGCUCAAAACUAAAAAUCAAAAAAUUUAAUGAAAAAACUAAACCUUAUUUUAGGUAUUUAAAAAUUUAUAAUGUUAAAACUAGUAAACAAAGUACCAAUAGAAAUAUAAUAAACAAAAAACCAAGAAGAAUUAAAUUAUCAAGAAAAAAAAAAAGUCAAAACUCAACUCAGAAGGUACAAACAGAAAAAAAAAGAAAAAAGGAACUAGGCAAAACAAGAAAAGGACUGUUUACCAAAAACAUAGCUCUUUGAACUAAAUCAUAAAGAGUUAAGCCUGCCCAAUGGAACUUAAAAAUCUUAAUGGCCGCGGUAUCCCUAACCGUGCGAAGGUAGCAUAAUCACUUGUCUCUUAAAUGGGGACCUGUAUGAACGGCACAACAUUUUCUAACUGUCUCCUUUCUACUCCUUAAAACUUCUAUUACCGUGAAGAAGCGUUAAUAAUUAAGAAAGACGAGAAGACCCUGUCGAGCUUAAACUUCCAAAAGAACAAAAAUUUUUUAUAAAACAAAAACUCUCUAAAGAAGUUUUGGUUGGGGCAACCAUGGAGAAAAAAAAACCUCCAGAAAAGCUUAAAGAUUUAUAAAUCAUAAUCAAAAAAAUAAACCAUAUUUUAAUGAAAACAAAACAGUUACCGCAGGGAUAACAGCGUAAUCUCCUUUAAGAGUCCACAUUGACAAGGAGGAUUGCGACCUCGAUGUUGGAUUAGGGCUACCAAAGGGUGCAGAAGCUCUUUAGGUUGGACUGUUCGUCCAAUAAUACCCUACAUGAUCUGAGUUCAGACCGACGAAAGUCAGGUCAGCUUCUAUCUUCUUUCUAAAAAACUUUUCCAGUACGAAAGGACAGAAAAGAAACUUCAAAUAAUUUUCAUCAAGAAGUAAAUAAAAUAUUUAAAUUUAAAAUUUUUAGUCAAAAAAAGGGU
This 1347-nucleotide ribosomal RNA is filed under the name Cercodemas anceps. Its description in RNAcentral is "16S ribosomal RNA". It matches the Rfam family "Bacterial large subunit ribosomal RNA", at positions 515 to 2829 of the family's 2925-position model. Lineage: Eukaryota; Metazoa; Echinodermata; Holothuroidea; Dendrochirotida; Cucumariidae. The record is from RNAcentral.